This 405-nucleotide ribosomal RNA is filed under the name uncultured bacterium. RNAcentral describes it as "bacterial SSU rRNA". It matches the Rfam family "Bacterial small subunit ribosomal RNA", at positions 32 to 419 of the family's 1533-position model. The record is from RNAcentral.
AAUCAACGCUGGCGGCGUGCCUAACACAUGCAAGUCGAACGCGAAAGUCCCGCAAGGGAUUAGUAGAGUGGCAAACGGGUGAGUAACACGUGGGUGACCUGCCUUCGAGUGGGGGAUAACGUCCCGAAAGGGACGCUAAUACCGCAUGACAUCCUGUCUUUGGAAAGACGGAGAUCAAAGCUGGGGAUUCGCAAGAACCUGGCGCUUGAAGAGGGGCCCGCGCCUGAUUAGCUAGUUGGAGGGUAACGGCCUACCAAGGCAACGAUCAGUAUCCGGCCUGAGAGGGCGGACGGACACACUGGGACUGAGACACGGCCCAGACUCCUACGGGAGGCAGCAGUGGGGAAUAUUGGACAAUGGGCGCAAGCCUGAUCCAGCCAUGCCGCGUGAGUGAUGAAGGCCUUA